This is a long non-coding RNA of Salvelinus fontinalis (brook trout), 6582 nucleotides long. RefSeq lists it as uncharacterized. Lineage: Eukaryota; Metazoa; Chordata; Actinopteri; Salmoniformes; Salmonidae. The record is from RefSeq and is a predicted model, not a curated record. The transcript has 2 exons.
CAUUGGUGUCAACAUGGGCCAGUUUCCCUGUGGAAUGCUUUUGACAGCUUGUAAAGUCCAUGCCCCCAUGAAUUGAGGCUGUUCUGAGGUCAAAAGGGGGAGUGCAACUCAAUAUUAGGAAGGUGUUUCUAAUGUUUGGUAUACUCAGUGGAUGUCACAUAGCCAAAGAAAUGGUUCCUAUUUACACAGUCAGCGAAAACAUCUUCAAGAAGAUGAUAAACAAGCUGGACAGCACAGAUACAAGAUUCCAUCUCCCAAGUCACCAUCCCAAUACGGUAAGACAAAAUUAAGGGAGAAGUUGAAGCAGAGCUCACACGUGUUGAUUAUUAGGCUACUUUAUUUUUAUUUAAUUUUUAUUUAACCAGGCAAGUCAGUUAAGAACAAAUUCUUAUUCAUAGGACGUCAUUUACAAUGACGGCCUACGAGCCUACAACAGACCUUUGUCUAGUAAAACAACCGAGCCCUACUGUACAUUAGUUUGACAGUAGACUUCAUUGAUGGGGAGUUUCAACUGAACGGUCAGUGCUUGCAAACAUCAUAGGCUACAUCUCCAGAGAUCACACAGGAGAAACAUCGCUCAUGGGUUGAGAGAAUGCCUGGGUCGUGAUUGAGGAGCAGCAAGUGUGCAUAAGGAUAACAGCACAAAUGUUUUAAAGGCCAUCGCAUUGAAUGGACCAGACACCAAUGUUUUGGACACAGGCUGCAUCUUGCAAUCGGAGGGGUGCGUCACUUGAGUGGGUUGAGUCACUGACACGAUCUUCCUGUCUGGGUUGGCGCCCCCCCUUGGGUUGUGCCGUGGCGGAGAUCUUUGUGGGCUAUACUCGGCCUUGUCUCAGGAUGGUAAGUUGGUGGUUGAAGAUAUCCCUCUAGUGGUGUGGGGGCUGUGCUUUGGCAAAGUGGGUGGGGUUAUAUCCUUCCUGUUUGGCCCUGUCCGGGGGUAUCAUCGGAUGGGGCCACAGUGUCUCCUGAACCCUCCUGUCUCAGCCUCCAGUAUUUAUGCUGCAGUAGUUUAUGUGUCGGGGGGCUAGGGUCAGUUUGUUAUAUCUGGAGUACUUCUCCUGUCUUAUCCGGUGUCCUGUGUGAAUUUAAGUAUGCUCUCUCUAAUUCUCUCUUUCUGUCUUUCUUUCUUUCUCUCUCUCGGAGGACCUGAGCCCUAGGACCAUGCCUCAGGACUACCUGGCAUGAUGAGUCCUUGCUGUCCCCAGUCCACCUGGACGUGCUGCUGCUCCAGUUUCAACUGUUCUGCCUGCGGCUAUGGAACCCUGACCUGUUCACCGGACGUGCUACCUGUCCCAGACCUGCUGUUUUCAACUCUCUAGAGACCGCAGGAGCGGUAGAGAUACACUUAAUGAUUGGCUAUGAAAAGCCAACUGACAUUUACUCCUGAGGUGCUGACUUGCUGCACCCUCGACAACUACUGUGAUUAUUAUUAUUUGACCAUGCUGGUCAUUUAUGAACAUUUGAACAUCUUGGCCAUGUUCUGUUAUAAUCUCCACUCCACCCACCACAGCCAGAAGAGGACUGGCCACCCCUCAUAGCCUGGUUCCUCUCUAGGUUUCUUCCUAGGUUUUGGCCUUUCUAGGGAGUUUUUCCUAGCCAUCGUGCUUCUACACAUGCAUUGCUUGCUGUUUGGGGUUUUAGGCUGGGUUUCUGUACAGCACUUUGAGAUAUCAGCUGAUGUAAGAAGGGCUGUAUAAAUAGAUUGGAUUUGAUUUGAUUUGAACCUCAUUUGGGAUCUCUAUGAUUUCCCAAGAAUUUUGCUUGGGCAAAAGAAACUCACACAUCUUAGUCAAUCACGAAGGGUUGGGGAUUUGCAAUUGGCCACAGACUGCAUACAAUGCAAACAAAAAUGAGUAAAUAGGAUGUCCCUUGGUUGUCACGAAAUGGUUGCCUAAAGUGUCAUGGUCCUCUGGAGGUUUUGUCUAGUUCCCGGUUGGUUACGGGGAUGUUCUGAAAACGUUUUUAGGUCGUUCUUGGGAUGUUGUGUCAUGGUCCCCUGGUGGUCUUGCCUUAUUCCUGGUUUGUCCCGGGGACAUCACCUGAUGGUCUUAACGAAACGUCCCCACCCCCAAGGCAUGUGCACCCUAGUUUCAUUAUACAUCAUCCCAUUUCACUGUUGCCAAGCCCAUCAAGGCCCUGAUUAGUGAACCACUGAUCCAGUCACAGCUCUUUGUCUUUUGGCAAUGCUUGUGACACCCUUCCGCCCCACACACACAAACAGUGCUUUUAACAUACAGUGUUUUGAACUUACAUAUUUGACACACUUUGACAUACACUACCGUUCAAGAUUUGGGGUCACUUAGAAAUGUCCUUGUUUUCCAUGAAAACAUACAUAAAAUGAGUUGCAAAAUGAAUAGUAAAUAUAGUCAAGAUGUUGACAAGGUUAUAAAUAAUGAUUUGUAAUUUAAAUAAUCAUGUCCUUCAAUCUUUUCUUUCGUCAAAGAAUCAGCCUUGCAGACCUUUGGCAUUCUAGUUGUCAAUUUGUUGAGGUAAUCUGAAGAGAUUUCACCCCGUGCUUCCUGAAGCACCUCCUACAAGUUGAUUGGCUUGAUGGUCACUUUUUACGUACCAUGCGGUCAAGCUCCUCCCACAACAACUCAAUAGGGUUGAGAUCAGGUGACUGUGCUGGCCACUCCUCUGUCCAGUGUCUGUGUUCUUUAGCCCAUCUUAAUCUUUUCUUUUUAUUGGCCAGUCUGAGAUAUGGCUUUUUCUUUGCAACUCUGCCUAGAAGGCCAGCAUCCCGGAGUCGCCUCUUCACGUUGAGACUGGUGUUAAGCGGGUACUAUUUAAUGAAGCUGCCAGUUGAGGACUUGUGUGUCAAACUGGACACUCUAAUGUACUUGUCUUCUUGCUCAGUUGUGCACCGGGGCCUCCCACUCCUCGUUCUAUUCUGGUUAGAGCCAGUUUGCGCUGUUUUGUGAAGGGAGUAGAACACAGCGUUGUAUGAGAUCUUCAGUUUCUUGCCAAUUUCUCGUAUGGAACAGCCUUAAUUUCUCAGAACAAGAAUAGACUGACGAGUUUCAGAAGAAAGUUCUUUGUUUCUGGCCAUUUUGAGCCUGUAAUCAAACCCACAAAUGCUGAUGCUCCAGAUACUCAACUAGUCUAAAGAAGGCCAGUUGUAUUACUUCUUUAAUCAGGACAACAGUUUUCAGCUGUGCUAACAUAAUUGCAAAAGGGUUUUCUAAUGAUCAAUUAACCUUUUAAAAUUAUAAACUUGGAUUAGCUAACACAACGUGCCAUUGGAAUACAGGAGUGAUGGUUGCUGACAAUGGGCCUUUGUACACCUAUGUAGAUAUUCCAUAAAAAAUCUGCCGUUUCCAGUAACAAAAGUCAUUUACAACAUUAAUAACAAUGUCUACACUGUAUUUCUGACCAAUUUUAUGUUAUUUUAAUGGACAAAAACAAGGACAUUUCUAAGUGACCCCAAACUUUUGAAUGGUAGUGUACAUGAUUACAUUGUGUAUAUUUAUUCAAACAGUGUUUAUUAUUUAAUGUUUCCGCACCUGGGAUUGAAACUCACGUCUUGGUUCACAGCAUCGCUGUGGUUCAUGGCAUCGCGCUGUGAACCUCUUGGUUCAUUUCGCCGAAACCCUUAAGGGACCUAAUGGGAACGUUGCCCAAUAUUCUCAAGACUUCCCCUGUAUGCUGGGUAAUCAUGUGGAUUUAUGCAUUGUGACAGGUAGUGGGGAGGCUGAGCAGAGCAGCUGCAUCUCUUAGGCGGUGUCCCAAAUGGCACGCUAUUUCCAAGUGCAGAACUUUUGAUCAGAGCCCUGUACUAUAUUGGGAAUAGGGUGCCAUUUGGAGCACAACCUCAAGCUACAGCUGUGAAGCUUACAGGCUCCUCUCUGCCCUACUCAGCUCUGUGAAGAUUACAUGUAUCGGGUUAGCAACAUUGUAAAUGAUCAUCAUGGUAAGACAUUCCUCAUUCCACCCUCUUCUAUGGCUUUGCCUGGCAAUCACCCAGAGAGGAAUAAAAUCAAAUCAUAAAACAGUUAUGACAUACUGUACCAGUCAAAAGUUUGGACACUGUUACGCUCGUCGUUUGAAUGAGGAGACCAAGGUGCAGUGUGGUAGGCGAACAUCUUACUUUUAUUAAAAUGAACACCGGAAAACAACAGAAUUCAAAACGAACGUAAAGUUCUGCAGGCUACACAACAACUAUACAAAAUCAAGAUCCCACAAACUAAGGUGGAAAAAAGGCUGCCUAAGUAUGAUCCCCAAUCAGAGACAACGAUAGACAGUUGCCUCUGAUUGGGAACCAUACCAGGCCAACAUAGAAAUAAAACAUAGAUUGCCCACCCUAGUCACACCCUGACCUAACCAAAUAGAGAAUAAAAAGGCUCUCUAAGGUCAGGGUGUGACAGACACACCCACUCAUUCAAGGGUUUUUCUAUAUUUGUACUAUUUUCUACAUUGUAGAAUAAUAGUGAACACAUCAAACUAUAAAAUAACACAUAUGGAAUCAUGUAGUAACCAAAAAGGUGUUGAACAAAUCUAAAUGUAUUUUAAAUUUGAGAUUCUUCUUAGGGCUCCCGAGUGGCGCAGCAGUGUAAGGCACUGCAUCUCAGACCCUGGUUCGUUUCCAGGCUGUAUCACAACUGGCCGUGAUUGGGAGUCCCAUGGGGCGGCGCACAAUUGGCCCAGCGUCGUCCGGGUUAGGGUUUUGGCCGGGUUAGGCCGUCAAUGUAAAUAUGAAUUUGUUCUUAAUUAACUGACUUGCCUAGUUAAAUAAAAGUGUAAUAAAAUUAAAGACACUGUCAGUGAUUUAUUUAUAAUUCAAGGCACACUUAACCAGCAUGGCUACCACAGCAUUCUGCAGCAGUACGCCAUCCCAUCUGGUUUGCGCUUAAUGGGACUAUUGUUUGUUUUCCAACAGGACCAUGACCCAACACACAUCCAGGCUGUGUAAGGGCUAUUUGACCAAGAAGAAAUGUGACGGAGUGUUGGCUCCCAAGUGGCGCAACAGUCUAAGGCACUGCAUCUCAGUGCUGGAGGUGUCACUACAGACCCUGGUUUGAUCCUGGGCUGCAUCACAACCGUCCGUGAUCUGGAGUCCCAUAGUACGGCGCACAAUUGGCCCAGUGUCAUCUGGGUUAGGGGAGGGUUUGGCCGGGAUUGUAAAAUAAGAAUCUGUUCUUAACUGACUUGCCUAGUUAAAUAAAGGUUAAAUAAAAUACAUAUAUCAGAAUACAUAUAUCAGAUCACCUGGCCUCCACAAUCACCCGACCUCAACCCAAUUGAGAUGGUUUGGGAUGAGUUGGACCGCAGAGUGAAGGAAAAACAGCCAACAAGUGCUCAGCAUAUGUGGGAACUCCUUCAAGACGGUUGGAAAAGCAUUCCAGGUGAAGCUGGUUGAGAGAAUGCAAAGAGUGUGCAAAGCUGACAUCAAGGCAAACCUAAAAUAUAUUUUGAUUUGUUUAACACUUUAUUGGUUAGUACAUGAUUCCAUAUGUGUUAUUCCAUAUUUUUUUUCUACAAUGUGGAAAAUAGUAAAAAUAAAGAAAAACCCUUGAAUGAGUGGGUGUGUCCAAACUUUUGAUUGGUACUGUAUAUGGCAAGAACACGUGAAUAAAAAGGGUGAGGGGGUUGAACGAGCGACAAAAACAGAGAGACAGAAACAUAGCUGCGCGAAGAUGUUUGGGGGUGGGAGUGCCAACAGGACUAGUAAAAUACCAUAGCACUACUUUUGUGGAAAAGUUUUUGAUUAUAGGCUAGAUAGUGAGGGGGUUGAAGGAGGGACAUAAAAAAACAGAAACAGAAAAACAAUUGAUAAUUGAUAAUUAUAGUCUUGUCCCAUCGCUGCAACUCCCGUAAGGCCCCAGGAGAGGCAAAGGUCGAGAGCCAUGCGCCACAACCCCACCAAGCCACACUGCUUCUUGACACACUGCUCACCUAACCCGGAAGCCAGCUGCACCAAUGUUUCAACUGGCAACCAUGUCAGAGUGCAUGCGCCCGGCCCGCCACAGGAGUUGCUAAAGCACGAUGGGACAAGGGCAUCCUGGCCUGCCAAACCCUCCCCUACCCGGAUGACACUGGGCCAAUUGUGCGUCGCCUCAUCGAACCCGGAUCUGUAGUGACGCCUCAAGCACUGCAGUGCCUUAGACCGCUGCGCCACUCGGGAGGCCCAAGAUUGACUUUUUCAGUUUGUGGAUUUAAACAAUUUCCUAAAUAACCAAUACAAAUGGUUUAAGUCACUGUUAAUGGUUAAAAACAACAACAAUUGCCACCGAAAACAAUGACACAAAAUUGUGUUUUCUGUUUGUCUCAGAAUGUCACAUCCUGGCCAUAGAGAGGCUUUUAUUCUCUAUUUUGGUUAGGCCAGGGUGUGACUAGGGUGGGCAUUCUAGUUUCUUUAUUUCUAUGUUUUUUAUUUCUUUGUUUUUGGCUGAGUGUGGUUCCCAAUCAGAGGCAGCUGUCUAUCGUUGUCUCUGAUUGGGAAUCAUACUUAGGUAGCCUUUUUCUACCUGUGUUUUGUGGGUAGUUAUUUUCUGUUUAGUCUCUGUUACCUGACAGAACUGUUCGCAUUUGUUUUGUUACUUUGUUCAAGCGUUUUUUGAUAAAUAAAUAAUCAUGAACACUUUU